CAACCCUCAAGCCUGGCUUGGUGUUGGGGCUCUGCGUCUGCAGGCCCUCAAAUCCAGUGGCGGACACGCUAGGUCUCCGAGCGCAGUAGUUUCUCCUCGCUCAGGGCGUCCGGCGUGCGCUUGCCUCGCACCCAUCUUAUCAA
Molecule: unclassified non-coding RNA, 143 nt
Filed under: uncultured Ascomycota
Lineage: Eukaryota; Fungi; Ascomycota
Description: sequence contains ITS2
Source: RNAcentral